RNAcentral lists this long non-coding RNA (239 nucleotides) under Elaeis guineensis (African oil palm). Its description in RNAcentral is "long non-coding RNA (EGUI_LNC041448)". The record is from RNAcentral. Lineage: Eukaryota; Viridiplantae; Streptophyta; Magnoliopsida; Arecales; Arecaceae.
GCCAGUUCAGGAUGUCAUGCACAAAAAAAAAGUUUAAAAGCGCCAUUUGGAAUGGUGUAUUCUCAGAAGAAAGUGCUAUUCCAAAUGGUGUUUUUAGGUUUUGCAUCACUUUGAUAAAUAAGUUGAAAUCUACAUCAAUCCAAUAAAAAAGUUUAAAAAAAAAUUAGUACAGUAAAGGACUCAGUUUUGGGAUGUCUCCCAUUGCAUGUUAAAAGACAAAUUAAGACUUGCCAUCCCCC